GGAUGGCUCAGUUGGUUAGAGCGUGGUGCUGAUAGCACCAAAGUUGCAGGUUCAAUCCUCGCAAGCGAUAGCUGCA
Podarcis lilfordi (Lilford's wall lizard) is the source of this 76-nucleotide non-coding RNA. NCBI's taxonomy places the organism in Eukaryota, Metazoa, Chordata, Lepidosauria, Squamata, Lacertidae. The record is from the annotation of a GenBank genome assembly.